AGGUUGUUUCAUAGACUCCCAAGAAAGAAGUGAACAGUCAAGAUUUGGGAAGGCCAAGAACCAGGGCAGUGAUUGCUUCAGAAAUGUGAUUCUCAGCAGGGUCUGAUUUAUUUCCCAGAGGACACUUGGUAAUUGGCAGCAACACAGCAGUACUAGUAAAUAUCAACAUGAAGCAGA
This is a long non-coding RNA of Myotis davidii, 177 nucleotides long. RefSeq lists it as uncharacterized. The transcript is spliced from 3 exons. The record is from RefSeq and is a predicted model, not a curated record. Lineage: Eukaryota; Metazoa; Chordata; Mammalia; Chiroptera; Vespertilionidae.